This 543-nucleotide ribosomal RNA is filed under the name Triticum aestivum (bread wheat). RNAcentral describes it as "partial small subunit ribosomal RNA". The record is from RNAcentral. Lineage: Eukaryota; Viridiplantae; Streptophyta; Magnoliopsida; Poales; Poaceae.
AUGGCGGCCGCCGCGAUAAGGGCCCAGAUCAACGUACUCAUCGCCACCAUGUUCAACACGGGUCUGGUGGACGAUGCUUUCUUGCAGCUGCAGAGGAUGCGCGAGCAGGGCCGCGUAACUCCGGCCUACGUCGUUGAGGUCAUGAACCGCUUCCUCAACAACGCCGAGAGGAUCAUCAACGACCUCAUCGGCCUGAUGAACGAGCCCGAGGUGGACUUCGACAAGGUGGACGGCCUCGUGCAGCAGCUCAAGCUGGCCUGCAGCAGGCGGAAGCCCUUUCCUCUCUAUCCCCCACCCCCCAGUCUUAACUGUGUUUAUUUCUUCGCUGCAUCAUGUGCGAUUCAGAUGUGCUUCCCUUGUCAGGGUGUUGGUGCUAAGAGAUUGAACCUCUGCUGCGUGCAACACUUCAGUCCUGAGGCAAAAAACAAAGAAGGGUACCUCACGGCACUAGGUUGUGUCAGGUUUCAGUUCUACGAUUUGCGCAGCAUGUUCAAGAUCAUAAUGGAGCUGGAGCAGCAUCUUGCGGCAUGUGGUCCUAAGUAG